UACGAAGGGAACUAGCGUUGUUCGGAAUCACUGGGCGUAAAGCGGGCGCAGGCGGACUAUCCAGUCAGGGGUGAAAGCCCAAGGCUUAACCUUGGAAUUGCCUUUGAAACUGAUAGUCUGGAGUGUGUGAGGGGGUAGCGGAAUUCCGAAUGUAGAGGUGAAAUUCGUAGAUAUUCGGAGGAACACCGGUGGCGAAGGCGGCUACCUGGCACACAACUGACGCUGAGGCCCGAAAGCGUAGGGAUCAAACAGG
RNAcentral lists this ribosomal RNA (253 nucleotides) under uncultured bacterium. RNAcentral's name for it is "partial 16S ribosomal RNA". It matches the Rfam family "Bacterial small subunit ribosomal RNA", at positions 524 to 776 of the family's 1533-position model. The record is from RNAcentral.